RNAcentral lists this ribosomal RNA (252 nucleotides) under uncultured bacterium. RNAcentral describes it as "partial 16S ribosomal RNA". It matches the Rfam family "Bacterial small subunit ribosomal RNA", at positions 524 to 776 of the family's 1533-position model. The record is from RNAcentral.
UACGUAGGUCCCGAGCGUUGUCCGGAUUUAUUGGGCGUAAAGCGAGCGCAGGUGGUUUAUUAAGUCUGGUGUAAAAGGCAGUGGCUCAACCAUUGUAUGCAUUGGAAACUGGUAGACUUGAGUGCAGGAGAGGAGAGUGGAAUUUCAUGUGUAGCGGUGAAAUGCGUAGAUAUAUGGAGGAACACCGGUGGCGAAAGCGGCUCUCUGGCCUGUAACUGACACUGAGGCUCGAAAGCGUGGGGAGCGAACAGG